Small nucleolar RNA from Macadamia integrifolia, 142 nucleotides. RefSeq annotates it as small nucleolar RNA snoR77. Lineage: Eukaryota; Viridiplantae; Streptophyta; Magnoliopsida; Proteales; Proteaceae. The transcript has a single exon. The record is from RefSeq and is a predicted model, not a curated record.
AGGCAGCCCCCUUGCAAAUGAAAAUGACAAGGGAGGUGUUUAUCUACUCAAAAAUUAAUUGACUUUUGCUCUUCAGACUUUGCUGAGUUGGGUAUUAAUAUAAUCCCUUCCCUGAAGUUGGUCUAGUAAACUUAAGCACAUU